Molecule: ribosomal RNA, 425 nt
Filed under: uncultured bacterium
Lineage: Bacteria
Description: partial 16S ribosomal RNA
Rfam family: Bacterial small subunit ribosomal RNA
Source: RNAcentral
GUGGGGAAUCUUGCGCAAUGGGCGAAAGCCUGACGCAGCCAUGCCGCGUGAAUGAUGAAGGUCUUAGGAUUGUAAAAUUCUUUCACCGGGGACGAUAAUGACGGUACCCGGAGAAGAAGCUCCGGCUAACUUCGUGCCAGCAGCCGCGGUAAUACGAAGGGGGCUAGCGUUGCUCGGAAUUACUGGGCGUAAAGGGCGCGUAGGCGGACAGCUUAGUCAGAGGUGAAAGCCCAGGGCUCAACCUUGGAAUUGCCUUUGAUACUGGCUGUCUUGAGUUUGGGAGAGGUGAGGGGAACUCCGAGUGUAGAGGUGAAAUUCGUAGAUAUUCGGAAGAACACCAGUGGCGAAGGCGACUCACUGGCCCAAUACUGACGCUGAGGCGCGAAAGCGUGGGGAGCAAACAGGAUUAGAAACCCCAGUAGUCC